UUUAAACAUAGUCAUGAGUAUCUGUGUCCAACUUUGAUCAUCCGUCUUAUUUGAAUUUUUUUAUGCUUAGUAUUUUGUUUGUUAUUAGAUGAUAAAACAUGAAUAAUAUUUUAUACGUGACUUAUAUUUUUUAAUUUUUUUAAAAAAAUUUAGAUAAGAUGGAUGAUUGAAGUUGAACACAGAAACGUAUGAUUGCGCUUAAA
Non-coding RNA from Oryza punctata, 203 nucleotides. The record is from Rfam. NCBI's taxonomy places the organism in Eukaryota, Viridiplantae, Streptophyta, Magnoliopsida, Poales, Poaceae.